This 1347-nucleotide ribosomal RNA is filed under the name uncultured bacterium. RNAcentral describes it as "bacterial SSU rRNA". It matches the Rfam family "Bacterial small subunit ribosomal RNA", at positions 28 to 1381 of the family's 1533-position model. The record is from RNAcentral.
GACGAACGCUGGCUGCGUGCUUAACACAUGCAAGUCGAACGCUGAAGCCUGGUGCUUGCACCGGGUGGAUGAGUGGCGAACGGGUGAGUAACACGUGAGUAACCUGCCCCUGACUUCGGGAUAAGCCCGGGAAACUGGGUCUAAUACCGGAUACGACUGCCAGACGCAUGUCUGGUGGUGGAAAGUUUUUUCGGUUGGGGAUGGGCUCGCGGCCUAUCAGUUUGUUGGUGAGGUAAUGGCUCACCAAGACGACGACGGGUAGCCGGCCUGAGAGGGCGACCGGCCACACUGGGACUGAGACACGGCCCAGACUCCUACGGGAGGCAGCAGUGGGGAAUAUUGCACAAUGGGGGAAACCCUGAUGCAGCGACGCAGCGUGCGGGAUGACGGCCUUCGGGUUGUAAACCGCUUUCAGCAGGGAAGAAGCGCAAGUGACGGUACCUGCAGAAGAAGUACCGGCUAACUACGUGCCAGCAGCCGCGGUAAUACGUAGGGUACGAGCGUUGUCUGGAAUUAUUGGGCGUAAAGAGCUCGUAGGUGGUUGGUCACGUCUGCUGUGGAAACGCAACGCUUAACGUUGCGCGUGCAGUGGGUACGGGCUGACUAGAGUGCAGUAGGGGAGUCUGGAAUUCCUGGUGUAGCGGUGAAAUGCGCAGAUAUCAGGAGGAACACCGGUGGCGAAGGCGGGACUCUGGGCUGUAACUGACACUGAGGAGCGAAAGCAUGGGGAGCGAACAGGAUUAGAUACCCUGGUAGUCCAUGCCGUAAACGUUGGGCACUAGGUGUGGGGGGCAUUCCACGUUCUCCGCGCCGUAGCUAACGCAUUAAGUGCCCCGCCUGGGGAGUACGGUCGCAAGGCUAAAACUCAAAGGAAUUGACGGGGGCCCGCACAAGCGGCGGAGCAUGCGGAUUAAUUCGAUGCAACGCGAAGAACCUUACCAAGGCUUGACAUACACCGGACCGUCCUGGAAACAGGUCCUCUUCUUUGAAGCUGGUGUACAGGUGGUGCAUGGUUGUCGUCAGCUCGUGUCGUGAGAUGUUGGGUUAAGUCCCGCAACGAGCGCAACCCUCGUUCUAUGUUGCCAGCACGUGAUGGUGGGAACUCAUAGGAGACUGCCGGGGUCAACUCGGAGGAAGGUGGGGAUGACGUCAAAUCAUCAUGCCCUUUAUGUCUUGGGCUUCACGCAUGCUACAAUGGCUGGUACAGAGAGAGGCGAACCCGUGAGGGCAAGCGAAUCCCUUAAAGCCAGUCUCAGUUCGGAUCGUAGUCUGCAAUUCGACUACGUGAAGUCGGAGUCGCUAGUAAUCGCAGAUCAGCAACGCUGCGGUGAAUACGUUCCCGGGCCU